This is a long non-coding RNA of Lathyrus oleraceus (garden pea), 926 nucleotides long. RefSeq lists it as uncharacterized. The transcript is spliced from 3 exons. The record is from RefSeq and is a predicted model, not a curated record. NCBI's taxonomy places the organism in Eukaryota, Viridiplantae, Streptophyta, Magnoliopsida, Fabales, Fabaceae.
AGUUCGUAUAUAUCAGGAAGAAUAGCGACAAUAGCAUCAUUGCCAAGGACGAGUUUCUGUUUGAGAUGAUCGAUGCAGAAUGUCUUGAAUCUUGCUUUAGCAACUGGACUGCCGUAUGAUGAUGCGCUUCUGCAGAUAAGUUCUAGUUUCCAUAAGGCUCACCUGAAAUUUUCCUUGUGAUUUCAAUAGCAUUGAAUUGUUGAAAAUUUAUUGCUUAUGUCAAUGCCUUUCUCUUUGCAACAUUGCUUUUCUCCCAUGCCUGUGGAACUGUUCCUGUACUUGUUUAACACUGCAAUAAUUUCCUUUCUGGUUUCUUCCAAGAAUUUUCACCAUUUGCUCUUUAUUUCCUUGUUGUAACAAGAAUACCCUUUUCUUUAUUUCAGGUACAUGCUGAGCUGCCUCUUCUGCCACUGCAAAAGCCCUUUCUAUAGCACAUUUUGAGUUCUCUAUGGUGGAUGAUAUUGUACUCUCAGUUGCAUCCUUAAUUUGCUUUUCAAUCAGAUGAGCUGCUUCAGCAGCAGUGGUUUCAACAGCAUCUUGUUUGGCAAGGACCAACUUAAAUUACAGAGAGAACUUCUCUUCAACGGAUUCCUCCAGAUUUUCCCGAAAAAGAUUUGGCAGACUCAAGCUCAGUGCAGUCAUUGUCCUGAUGCAUUUCCUCCAUAAUUUUGUAUAAUAGAUUCAAAAAGCAAUGGCAGCAGCUGUGAGUUCAUUGAUGAUUCUAGCAACAUCGAAUACCGGCAAUGACAUCGGCAUCCGUGGUGGAAUUUUCUGAGGCUUCCUAAUCAAAGAUGUGGAGGUGUCUUAAAGUGAUCAAUUUUGAUACAACUUUUGUAGAAAGCUCCAUUUUUUCAUUAGGUCUCAAUGUUAAUGUUUGUAACAAAACUGCUUAAGGAUUUGUAAAGACUUCCCAGUCCUUUACAGUU